Molecule: ribosomal RNA, 420 nt
Filed under: uncultured Nitrososphaerota archaeon
Lineage: Archaea; Thermoproteati; Nitrososphaerota
Description: bacterial SSU rRNA
Rfam family: Archaeal small subunit ribosomal RNA
Source: RNAcentral
CAGCCGCCGCGGUAAAACCAGCACCUCGAGUGGUCAGGAGGUUUAUUGGGCCUAAAGCAUCCGUAGCCGGUUGCAUAAGUUUUCGGUUAAAUCUAUGCGCUUAACGUAUAGGCCGCCGAAAAUACUGUGCAGCUAGGGAGUGGGAGAGGUACACGGUACUCGAUAGGAAGGGGUAAAAUCCUUUGAUCUAUUGAUGACCACCUGUGGCGAAGGCGGUGUACCAGAACACGUUCGACGGUGAGGGAUGAAAGCUGGGGGAGCAAACCGGAUUAGAUACCCGGGUAGUCCCAGCUGUAAACGAUGCAGACUCGGUGAUGCAUUGGCUUGUGGCCAAUGCAGUGCCGCAGGGAAGCCGUUAAGUCUGCCGCCUGGGAAGUACGUACGCAGGUAUGAAACUUAGAGGAAUUGGCGGGGGAGCAC